Molecule: long non-coding RNA, 807 nt
Organism: Spinacia oleracea (spinach)
Lineage: Eukaryota; Viridiplantae; Streptophyta; Magnoliopsida; Caryophyllales; Amaranthaceae
Exons: 6
Source: RefSeq, a predicted model, not a curated record
CGCCUUCCGUUUUUUCUCGACGCUUUCUGUAGUCGAUGCUUGUCUAGGCGUCUUAAUGCGUCGCGAAGACAUGUGCUUGGCACGUGUAAAAUUCAGUUUACUCUUAAAUUAGAAUUAGAAUUAGCCCUUUCUAACUUCAAACUGCUUCCUUCGUACCCCGUACACCAUAACUCUCAAACCCUAAGAUAUCCCAUAUUCGACCAUCUCCCACAUCCACUGCGCUAAUUCCUUCAGGUUAUUUGUUUCCUCUGAAUUUUGGAUGAUCUUGCUAUUCCAGUUCGUGAUUCCGAUUUGGUUUUCUUUCCGCUUGUCACGAAGGAUGGAGGUUUGAAAGAAGAUUGGAGGGGUUUUUUCAGGGAUUUGAUGACUGGGUUUACCCGGCUAAGAGAGAAAAGUUGAACGUGUUGAACUGCUCGUGAUGAGGGGCCAAGACAGAUAGUGCAAAAAAUUGAUGAUGAAGAGUGUGAUAAUAACCAUUGAUGAGAUCGCAAAUGACAAUGUGAAGGUCGUCCAACGUGAUAAGGUGCAAAAGAAAAAUGAAGGCCAAGUCACUUGAGCUUUAUAUCAACUACUACCAUCGAUCUUCUAUAUAGAGUAUAUAGUACAUCCUAGCUAGUUAGUUUUUCUAGGUUUUAGUUUUUCUUGGGUUUGAUUUAUAAUGUUGUUUUGGACUAUUUGGUUAGGAUUUCGGUUAGUGAUAUACAUCCGUGUAAGUUUGGAUUCUUUUUAGUAACGUACAUGUACGUACUAAGAAUUUUAACUACUUAAGUUUCUUUUAAGUUAAUUUUAUUGUUAAUUGAAGACCAA